Molecule: ribosomal RNA, 456 nt
Filed under: uncultured bacterium
Lineage: Bacteria
Description: bacterial SSU rRNA
Rfam family: Bacterial small subunit ribosomal RNA
Source: RNAcentral
UACGGAAGGCAGCAGUGGGGAAUAUUGCACAAUGGGCGAAAGCCUGAUGCAGCUAUGCCGCGUGUAUGAAGAAGGCCUUAGGGUUGUAAAGUACUUUCAUCGGGGAGGAAAAAACAAAACUAAUAAUUUUAUUUCUUGACGUUACCCGAAAAAGAAGCACCGGCUAACUCCGUGCCAGCAGCCGCGGUAAUACGGAGGGUGCUAGCGUUAAUCACAAUUACUGGGCGUAAAGAGCACGUAGGUGGUUUUUUUAAGUCAGAUGUGAAAUCCCUGGGCUUAACCUAGGAACUGCAUUUUGAAACUGAAAUACUAGAGUAUCGUAGAGGGAGGUAGAAUUCUAGGUGUAGCGGUGAAAUGCGUAGAUAUCUGGAGGAAUACCUGUGGCGAAAGCGGCCUCCUAAACGAAUACUGACACUGAGGUGCGAAAGCGUGGGGAGCAAACAGGGAUUAGAUACC